Molecule: long non-coding RNA, 446 nt
Organism: Epinephelus lanceolatus (giant grouper)
Lineage: Eukaryota; Metazoa; Chordata; Actinopteri; Perciformes; Serranidae
Source: RefSeq, a predicted model, not a curated record
CCUCCUCUUUGUCUUCAAACAUUUCCAUGCUGCCUGAGUGUUUGGUGGUUUUUGCCAUGUGUCUUUGAGACUGUCACUUUUUGUCUGUGUGCUGGCGUGGCCGUGGUCCCCCUCCCUGGUUUCCCUGGUUUCCGGCUCUCCUCAUCAUACUCACCUGCCUCAUCAGCUCAUCAGCCUGCGGUAUUUCUUCUCUAGCUCUCCAACCACUCACUGCCAGAUCGUUGUUCAACCAAGUGGAUCAUCACUCACCUGCACACCACGCUUCCUUCACCAUCUACCCACGCCAUCCUCACCUCAGCCUCCUCCACUUCAUCCCACAGACCCUGGACCCUAUUCAUUCCAGUUUCUUGUGACAACAAACCUUUUCAAACCUUUAUGUGAAACAGGUGACGUCCUCAGACGUAAGACAAACUUACUUACUUAAAGAGUUUUUUCCUGGCAAUAAA